Molecule: transfer RNA, 71 nt
Filed under: Loxodonta africana (African savanna elephant)
Lineage: Eukaryota; Metazoa; Chordata; Mammalia; Proboscidea; Elephantidae
Rfam family: tRNA
About the family: Transfer RNA (tRNA) molecules are approximately 80 nucleotides in length. Their secondary structure includes four short double-helical elements and three loops (D, anti-codon, and T loops).
Source: Rfam by way of RNAcentral
GCAGUGGUAGUUCACUGGUAGAAUUCUCGCUUUCCAUGCGGGAGACCUGGAUUCAAAUUCCAGCCAAUAUA